RNAcentral lists this long non-coding RNA (330 nucleotides) under Trifolium pratense (red clover). RNAcentral's name for it is "long non-coding RNA (TPRA_LNC014232)". The record is from RNAcentral. Lineage: Eukaryota; Viridiplantae; Streptophyta; Magnoliopsida; Fabales; Fabaceae.
CGAUGGCGAUGAAAUCGGAGUGCGCGGUGAUUCCAUGAAGAUGGAAAGUGGGAGCGGAGAUGAAAUCGGAGUGCGCGGUGAUUCCAUGAAAACGAAACAACAGCAAGAAGAAUGAAUCAGAGAGAGAGAGCUUUCAGAAAAGAAUGAGAUUAUUAUUAUCAGAGAGAGAACAGAGGAAUGAAUGAAUAGUUAGGGUUCCCGGAUUUGGGCGCUCAUUAUUUAUAAGGAUAAGGACGUGAUAUGCACGCACUCAACAACGGUCGGUAACCUUUUUUUUUUUUUUAAGAAAAAAAAAAUUACUUAGGCGGUGUAUAUUUUUAAGAAAAAAAG